This 46-nucleotide non-coding RNA is filed under the name Trichobilharzia regenti. Lineage: Eukaryota; Metazoa; Platyhelminthes; Trematoda; Strigeidida; Schistosomatidae. The record is from RNAcentral.
GUACUGAUGAAGAGUCCUAAACCGGGACGAAACAGCUGUCCAUUAC